Molecule: long non-coding RNA, 312 nt
Filed under: Homo sapiens (human)
Lineage: Eukaryota; Metazoa; Chordata; Mammalia; Primates; Hominidae
Description: non-protein coding lnc-ELAVL4-3:1
Source: RNAcentral
CAAUAUGAUCCUUUAAUUAAAGAGCGCAAUUUACACUGAGCAGAUCACAGUUAGUUAUAACACAGUGGAGGGGAGGAAUCUGCUACAGGUGAACUAGAGAAGGAGAUGGUAGGCGCUGAAGAAGGCGUGUCCUGAUGUCUUUAGGAUGCCUCCUUAGAGGGACUCGAUGCUUUGUUACUCCAGCAGAGGAUUGUCAAGGUGCACAGUAUUUUUCAGAGGAUGCAUGAUGGAUGAUAUUGCAACAGAUUGACCAUGGAUGCAGAUACAAGAAUUCAGCUGUCUUCUGUUAAGCCAGACAUUAAAGAAAUUUUC